This 251-nucleotide ribosomal RNA is filed under the name uncultured bacterium. RNAcentral's name for it is "partial 16S ribosomal RNA". It matches the Rfam family "Bacterial small subunit ribosomal RNA", at positions 524 to 776 of the family's 1533-position model. The record is from RNAcentral.
UACGUAGGGGCAAGCGUUAUCCGGAAUCACUGGGCGUAAAGGGUGCGUAGGCGGCCUAGCAAGUCAGAGGUGAAAGGCAUUGGCUCAACCAAUGUAAGCCUUUGAAACUGUUAGGCUUGAGUGCAGGAGAGGUAAGUGGAAUUCCUAGUGUAGAGGUGAAAUUCGUAGAUAUUAGGAGGAACACCAGUGGCGAAGGCGACUUACUGGACUGUAACUGACGCUGAGGCACGAAAGCGUGGGGAGCGAACAGG